This is a non-coding RNA of Cricetulus griseus (Chinese hamster), 5338 nucleotides long. The record is from RefSeq and is a predicted model, not a curated record. NCBI's taxonomy places the organism in Eukaryota, Metazoa, Chordata, Mammalia, Rodentia, Cricetidae.
UUGCCCACGGCUGUAAUGCUGACUCUGCUCCUUCCUCUGGUAUCUACUGCAGACAGUGAGACACAAAUCCAGAAUGUUAGAAUUCUCCCUACCCAGUUUACCGGAAUUCUUUCGCACAGACUUCUGGGAAAUGUAGUUCAUGCGACUGUGACAUCAGAGGGAGCCGUCCAGGAAAUUCUUUUACGUCUUCCCUGUACUACUGCAUGUUUUUCCCCAAAGUUGGGCGCGAGUCCUGCUGCGUCUCCUGCUGCGUUCUCUGACUUGGAGGAUAUGCUGUCCUUCUGGGAUGUGGCCAUUGAGUUCUCUCCAGAAGAGAGGGAAUGCCUAGAUCCUGCUCAGUGGAGUCUGUACAGGGAUGUGAUGUUGGAGAAUUACAGCAACCUUCUAUUCCUGGGUCUUGCUGUCCCUAAGCCACACCUGGUGACAUUUCUGGAGCAAAGACAAGAGUCUUCAGGAGUGAAGAGACAAGCAGCAGCCACCGUGCACCCAGGAAGAAUACCCAAUGAUUAUAACAUUUCUAAUGAGACUAUUGAUUAUAAGUCACUAUGUAUUCCACGCAAGAGAAUUCAUGCAGGGAAGAAACUCUACAAGUGUGAAGAAUGUGGUAAGGCCCUUAGUUCUUCUAAAACACUUUCUAUACACCAGAGACUUCACACUGGAGAAAAAUGCUACACGUGUAAAGAAUGUCAUAAGGCAUUUAAUACACGCUCAUCACUUUUUAUUCACCAGAAAAACCAUACUGAUGAAAAAACAUACAUGUGUGAAGAAUGUGGCAGAUCAUUUUACUAUCCUUCAAUGCUGAAGCAACAUCAAAGAAUUCAUUCUAGAGAGAAACCCUACAAGUGUGAAGAAUGUGGCAGAGCUUUUUAUGAUCCUGCAUUUCUGAAGAAACAUCAAAAGAUUCAUUGUGGAGAGAAACCCUACAAGUGUGAAGAAUGCCACAAAGCUUUUCGUUGUCACUCAAGCCUUAAGAACCACAAGGCAAUGCACACGGGAGAGAAACUUUACCAGUGUAAACUGAGUGGAAAGGGAUUUACUAAGCCUGCUCUCCUCAGUGAGAACAAGACAGCUCAUACUGCAGAGAAAGCCUACAAGUGUGAAGAGUGUGGCAAGUGUUUUUGCACAUCUUCAUCCCUUAGACGACAUCAAACAAUCCAUUCUGAAGACAAGUCCCACAAGUGUGCAGAGUGUGGCAAAAGGUUUCCCUCCUUUACAUACCUUCAAGAUCACCAGAGAGUCCAUACUGGGAAGAACAAUACAAGAGGGGGGAGGGGGGAAAAUCUUUUUUUUUAUUUUCAUCCCUUAGACGACAUCAAACAAUCCAUUCUGAAGACAAGUCCUACAAGUGUGCAGAGUGUAGUAAAAGGUUUUCUUCCUUUACAUACCUCCAAGAACAUCAGAGAGUCCAUACUGGGGAGAAACCAUACAAGUGUGAGGAGUGUGGAAAAUCUUUUUUCUUCUUUUCAUCCCUUACACGACAUCAAACAAUUCACUGUGAAGAGAAUCCUUUCAAAUGUGAAGAGUGUGGCAGGUGUUUUUACUCAUCAUUUUCCUUUAGAAUACAUCAAACAAUCCAUUCUGAAGACAGUCCCUAUAAGUGUGUACAAUGUGGCAAACAGUUUUCCUAUUCUAGGAGUCUUCAGGAACAUCUGACAGUUCAUACUGGAGAGAAACCAUACAAGUGUGAAGAAUGUCACAAAUCCUUUCAUUAUCAAUCAUCCCUUAGGAAACACAAGAGUGUUCAUACUUGAGAGAAAUUCUACAAGUGUGAGGAGUGUGACACAUGGUUUUCCUCAUCUUCAUCUCUUAGACAACAUUAAAAAAAAGAAAACAAAAAACGAAAUUCAUUCUGAAGACAGUCUCUAAAAGUGUGAUGAAUGUGGCAAAGACCUAGCUAAUCUUUAUAUCCUUACUCAACACAAUACACUUCCUACAAGACAGAAAUCCUACAAAUGUCUUUAAAAGUUUACUUCUUCAAUCCUUAAAACAUGUCAAAUGAUUCAUUCUGACUACAAACUCCAUGAGAGUGUGAAGUGUGGCAAAAUUUUUGUUAAGAAUUCAGAUCCUAUCCAACUUUAAUGAAUGCAAAAUGGAAAAUAUUAAGUUAAUUAUUUUGGAAUGUCAGCAUGAACAUCUCACAAAUGCUAAGAAUGUCAUCACAGAACAGUAGAAACUUCUCUUUGCAGUAACCCCCAACAGUUUGUUCGAGCAGCGUGCCUGAAACUUGCCUUGAUUAGUCCUAUCUUACAAGAAUGCCAGACUCAUGCGUCUUCUCCUCUGAGGAUCACAUGUUGACUCCUCUCUGCCUACACUUCCCAGAAUCCUCAUAUCGUAGUCCCACCUAUCUUGCUGCCCUAUUGGCCAACAGUGCUUUAUUCAUCAACCAAGAAGACAACCAUAUACACAGAAGAAGAUUCCCCAUCAAGGGGGUACACAUAUCUCUAUAGUAAGGUAUGAGGAUCCCAUAUAAGCCCAGAACUGAAAUAGUGGGGACUGUGGGGUGAGGUUAUUAGGGAUAUGAGGUGUUGAUUUGUGAGGUUCCAGUGUUCUUUGCAGCACCCAUAGGCUGUGCUCUUGUGGUCUCAAAGGCUACUUUAGGCCUGUGGCUCUAACCACGGCCUGUAGAUAGUGUAUGCAAUGCAUCUGAAGUUUAGUACCUGCCUCCAGCAGGCUGACAGGGUCCAAGGGGAGGAAGAGUUUGACUCCAUGUGCCCACCUGGCUGCCUAGUGAGCUGCUAGCCCAACCUGUAUUGAAUUCUGAGGCCACUGGAAGGAAAUGCUGGUUGCAGGCUGCUCUUCCAUGACUGUGGGAGCAGGCACUGCUUUUUUUUUUUUUUAUCUUUGGACCCUGUACAAUUUUGCUUCCACAGUUAACCUGAGGCCUCAGCAAACUACAUAGUGCAAGCUGGGAAAAAAUGACUGGGUAAAUUAUCUGCAUUUAUAUAGACAUCUUUACACCAGGAGAUAAACAAUAGUAGUCUCCUUUGGUCUCAGGCAGCCUUGUUAGCUGUUCUUAAUCACACAAUGUCUUCUUUACCAUUUGUUGAUGUCCUUUUUCCUGUCUCAGAGUCAGCGACACUGACCCAGGACAGGACAUAAGAGGACCCUUAGAGAUGCACGUGCAUAUGGCUAAUGUGGGGACAACAAACCUUAGCUUCAAAAGCAAAUGUUCAUGCAUGUGUAAUAUCAGCAAUACCUGAAAUGCAAUUGAUUCUAUAUAUUUAAGAAAUAGAAACAUGAAAAAAAAGAGUAACCAGGCUUGUUGGGGCUGAAACCAAGGCAGACCACACAGUCAGAGGGCAAAGGAAUGUCAAAGUCAGUGGGAAUGUCAUAUCACAGUUAAAGGAAGCAGGCUAUUCUAAGAACUGGUCCUAGGACCAGAUAACUGUUAACAGUUGAAAUCUGUCUACCUGGGUUCCGGAAUUCUUUCGCACAGACUUCUGGGAAUUGUAGUCUGCGGCACUGUGACAUUAGCCAAAGUUGGGCGCGAGUCCUGCCCCGCUGCGUCUCCUGCUGCUUCUCAGACUUGGAGGUUGGUCCAGGGUGCAGCGCAGCCUGAGGCUUUGUGCGGGGUGUGGGUUCUGUCUUGGAGGGAACGGACCUGGGCUGAGGGAAGGGCGGAGAAGCUGCCUGGGAGGUGCUGGGCUGAGCUGGCUGGGACACGCAAGUUGGCAGAUCAGGACUGGGAGAGGGCGAUGGGACUGUGCCCUGAGAGAUGGUUUCCAUAGGAUGUGCAGCCCGAGUCCACCUUGGGAUUCUGGGACAGGAGAGCUGCCUGGGAGCAGAUGAUACCGCAAGGUCCAGGACUGCAAGCUAGUGAUGGUCAGCUGAGGUGACCAGGACUGCAAGCUAAUGAUGGUGAGCUGACUGCCUGCUCCUGGGGUGGAGCUGAGAGCUGACUGAGCUGCUUUGGGAAAGGGGAAGCAUGCUUCUCUAGCUGAGCCAUUCUCACAUGGCUGCUGUCAAUUUCUCAGUAUCUUAGAGUAAACAGGGUUUCUGACCUCUCCUGUACUCUGUCCUGUGUAGUAUAAGGGUCUUGUGCCUUCAUUGUGUUCAUUUCCUCUGCCAGUUAAAGGCUUGAGAGGAAAAAAUCUGAGGCACAGCAAAGGUCACUUGUGGGAAAUUCUGGAAGACAGCAGACAGAUCUGCUUUUUAUUCAAGCAUUCAUUUUCCAAAAUAAUUUUCAAAUAUAUGUUUACAUAUAUGGUUAUAGAAGCUAUAUCCCAUUAAACGAAAUUUAAAAUGUUUGGAGGUAUUGCUUUAGGCUGUACUUCAACAGCAUGUACAGAGGACUGUAGAAUGAGAGAUAAUUGGAUUCUCCUUCCCACUCAUCUCUGUGAAUAAAUUUCAUUUGUACUUAGCAUGACUAGAAACACAAUUCUGGACACAUGAGAGACAUUUAAUUAUCUAUAAGCCAGUGAUUGUUAAUGUUUAGGUGUUAAUUACCCUGUGUUAGUAAAUUUGAGAUUGAGUUGACUUUAGAAUCUGUAUCAACAGUAAAAUAAGACCUGCCCCUACAGUGUUUCAUACUUGAGGAUCACAUAGCCACUAAUCAAGUACAUCCCUUCUGCUGAGUGAGUGCAACUGGCUCAGAUCCUUAUUUCAAUAUUGUUCCAAGUUUCUAUGACAUGACAGUUGGAUACAUAUGAGAAAUGCUGUUCUGAAUCUAAAGGAAAUAAGAGAUUCUUUAUUCUGGAUUCGAAUAUGACUGAAAAUGGGUUCUGUUAGCAUGUCCUUGGGAGAUAAACACAAAUGCCCAUUCACCCCAGAUUGGUACCAAUGCAGACCAUUUCACAAAAGUCCAACCUGGUGAAAAAUAGAAGUCUAUGGAAAUUCUUACACACCCAGGGGAGAUGUUAUCACAAGCAGUUGGAUGACCCCACUGGGAAAAACCAACAGUAACUAUUCCACAGCCUAGAUCUCAGAUUCAGAGAACCCAAAUGACAAAGUUACGACAUGGUAACAGUCUCAUGGAACAUUUAUAGUUACAGAAUAAAGAGUCAUAAAUCAAGACAAGUUUCAAAAACAUGGCUUGAACAAACAGGAGGGGAGGUUAUAGUAAAGAGAAGUCUCUACUGUUCUCUGGUGACAUUCUUAGCAUUUAUAUUGGUGGAAAUUAGAUAUUUCUGUUGACAUUCUAAAAUAAUUAAUAUUCUCCACUAUGGAUUCAUUUGAGUUGGAUAAGGUCUGAAUGAUUAGCAAAGAUUUUGCCAUACUCCACACACUCGUGGAAUUUGUAUUGAAAGACCCCCGCCCUUAGCUUUCUCUUUUAAGUUUUCCGCAUGCAGCUGGCGAAUACAUCCUCUCCUGCACCCCCUGACCCUUGAUACCCACAGCU